CACCAACAGACAUAACUUUUAACUUUUUGGCAACAAUAAAACUUCCUACCCUUUCACAUUCUCAUCAAAUUGCCCUAACAACCAUAGUUUCCAACCAAGAAAGUGAACAAAAUAUCUAACUCCUGGCAAAUGGUCUCCAGGCCCAGAUGGUUUUUCAAUCUUUAUUACAAAUUGUUUGCCUCACUACUGGCACCUAAACUUGAGCUUACCUUUAACGAUAUAAUUAAAACAGAUACCAUGCCACAAGAUAUGCUAGCAGUCCGUGUAGCCACCCUCUCUAAACCAGGCAAACCUCCAAAUAAAGGCCAGAAUCUACGCCCUAUCUCACUUCUGAAUUCAGAUGUGAAGAUACUUGCAAAAGUAUAUACAGUAAGACUCACUAGCAUCAUACCAGAGUUUAUACAUGGCGAUCAAGUUAGGUUUGUGGGAAAUAGGUAUAGAGCAG
Non-coding RNA from Pelobates cultripes (western spadefoot toad), 445 nucleotides. Lineage: Eukaryota; Metazoa; Chordata; Amphibia; Anura; Pelobatidae. The record is from the annotation of a GenBank genome assembly.